This 433-nucleotide ribosomal RNA is filed under the name uncultured bacterium. RNAcentral's name for it is "partial 16S ribosomal RNA". It matches the Rfam family "Bacterial small subunit ribosomal RNA", at positions 29 to 507 of the family's 1533-position model. The record is from RNAcentral.
AACGAACGCUGGCGGCAGGCUUAACACAUGCAAGUCGAGCGAGACCUUCGGGUCUAGCGGCGGACGGGUGAGUAACGCGUGGGAACGUGCCCUUCUCUACGGAAUAGCCCCGGGAAACUGGGAGUAAUACCGUAUACGCCCUUUGGGGGAAAGAUUUAUCGGAGAAGGAUCGGCCCGCGUUGGAUUAGGUAGUUGGUGGGGUAAUGGCCCACCAAGCCGACGAUCCAUAGCUGGUUUGAGAGGAUGAUCAGCCACACUGGGACUGAGACACGGCCCAGACUCCUACGGGAGGCAGCAGUGGGGAAUCUUAGACAAUGGGGGCAACCCUGAUCUAGCCAUGCCGCGUGAGUGAUGAAGGCCCUAGGGUUGUAAAGCUCUUUCAGCUGGGAAGAUAAUGACGGUACCAGCAGAAGAAGCCCCGGCUAACUCCGUG